Molecule: small RNA, 177 nt
Filed under: Chrysemys picta bellii (western painted turtle)
Lineage: Eukaryota; Metazoa; Chordata; Testudines; Emydidae
Description: TUC338 (ENSCPBG00000001317.1)
Source: RNAcentral
UUGAUAGCUUGGCAGACUGAAGUCUUCUGCUUAUUCACAGAACAAACACAGCAUGGGCAGCAGCAAUGCAAGCUUCCCCACACCAUUCUGCCAAUGUGCCUCAACCCUGAUCCGGAGGGACCAUCUCUAGGGCUGAGAGGGUAGUUCAUUCAUACGCUGCUUUUAUCUUUGGCAUUC